Molecule: non-coding RNA, 679 nt
Filed under: Pongo abelii (Sumatran orangutan)
Lineage: Eukaryota; Metazoa; Chordata; Mammalia; Primates; Hominidae
Source: RNAcentral
GGUGUGCUCGGCGGUCACAGACCCACUCAGGACACCUCCCGUUGCCGGCGGGCUAGACCUCCCUUAAAGGGGUCCCCGUGUCUCUCCAGUCUACAGCCUAAGUUCAAACGAGGCGUAUAGGCGAGGACAGCAGGAAGGCUCCAAGUCAAACAGAAAUGGAUGGGAAGUGGUCUUGGGAAACCUGAAGACAGUGGGAUAUUCAGAAGGCCAAGGGGAUCCAGCUUAUCCUGUUGGGCAAGGUGCUGGGAGUGAAGGCAAAGAUUCCACUGAUGAUUUCCAGGAACUACCGAAGCCACGGAUCAGCUGAGUUACCCGGGCUAAUAGCAGGAGGAAACAGUGUCAGAGAGGGAUCUGGCUGAUCUUCAUCUCCACUAAGUUCUCCCCAAGGGUCUUGCUCUGUCACCCAGGCUGGAGUGCAGUGCCACAAUCACAGCUCACUACAACCUCAACUUUCCUGGCUCAGUGAUUAUCCCACCUCAGCCUCCUGAGUAGCUGGGACUAACAGGCAUGUGCCAACACGCCCCACUCAUUUUUUUUUUAUUUUUUGUAGAGAUGGGGUUUCACCAUGUUGUCCAGGCUGGUCUCAAACUCCUGGGCUCAAGCGAUCCUCCCUGCCUUGGCCUGUGCUGGGAUUACAGGUGUGAGCCACCGUGCUGGCCUCAGUACUAUUUUUUAUUGA